UCCCUGCUGGCCCAGACGGUAAAGCGUCUGCCCGGAAUGCAGGAGACCUGGGUUCGAUCCUUGGGUUGGGAA
This 72-nucleotide transfer RNA is filed under the name Bos taurus (domestic cattle). It matches the Rfam family "tRNA". Rfam says of the family: Transfer RNA (tRNA) molecules are approximately 80 nucleotides in length. Their secondary structure includes four short double-helical elements and three loops (D, anti-codon, and T loops). The record is from Rfam by way of RNAcentral. RNAcentral also lists the same sequence under 2 other names. Lineage: Eukaryota; Metazoa; Chordata; Mammalia; Artiodactyla; Bovidae.